RNAcentral lists this ribosomal RNA (275 nucleotides) under Escherichia coli. RNAcentral describes it as "partial 16S ribosomal RNA". It matches the Rfam family "Bacterial small subunit ribosomal RNA", at positions 292 to 559 of the family's 1533-position model. Lineage: Bacteria; Pseudomonadati; Pseudomonadota; Gammaproteobacteria; Enterobacterales; Enterobacteriaceae. RNAcentral also lists the same sequence under 1 other name. The record is from RNAcentral.
CUGAGAGGAUGACCAGCCACACUGGAACUGAGACACGGUCCAGACUCCUACGGGAGGCAGCAGUGGGGAAUAUUGCACAAUGGGCGCAAGCCUGAUGCAGCCAUGCCGCGUGUAUGAAGAAGGCCUUCGGGUUGUAAAGUACUUUCAGCGGGGAGGAAGGGAGUAAAGUUAAUACCUUUGCUCAUUGACGUUACCCGCAGAAGAAGCACCGGCUAACUCCGUGCCAGCAGCCGCGGUAAUACGGAGGGUGCAAGCGUUAAUCGGAAUUACUGGGC